CUGAAGGGGCAACUUUUAUUUAAUAUCGGCCUGAGCCCUCUCAACCUUGCCGAUAUUUUUUUUUUUUGCUCAAGUCAUUCGCUGCUUUCUCUUUUCUCUUAUUCUGUUUCUAAGCUGUGCCGAUCUUUUUUCAUUGCAGAUAUGGACGCAGACGCAGCUCGGAUACUAGCCAAGGGUCUCAAGGCCCACAAGAGGAAAGGCGUCACAACUUCAGGGU
This 217-nucleotide long non-coding RNA is filed under the name Elaeis guineensis (African oil palm). RNAcentral describes it as "long non-coding RNA (EGUI_LNC013127)". The record is from RNAcentral. Lineage: Eukaryota; Viridiplantae; Streptophyta; Magnoliopsida; Arecales; Arecaceae.